Long non-coding RNA from Astatotilapia calliptera (eastern happy), 831 nucleotides. NCBI's taxonomy places the organism in Eukaryota, Metazoa, Chordata, Actinopteri, Cichliformes, Cichlidae. The record is from Ensembl.
CGGAGAUCUGAAAUCCCAGUGAAUUACUUUAGCCGGUGACAUUCCCACAGGAACAGGAAAUCCUGCUGUGGAUAACCUAGAGGAAUGGUGAGCUUUGGUCAAUGUGUAGCUCUGAGGAGUAACCAUGAAACAACCCAUUUAUAACCAGCAGGGACGUACAGCCUGCGUACUGCAUUUUAAUGCAGACAAACUCACAAGUGAACUGAUCAGAGAUCAGAUGACAGAAAGCGAUCGCUGAGCCGAGGUUGUAGUCUGCUGAACGAGCCGUCCUAUUGGUUGUUUCUGCCUGUCGCUCACAGACGCUGAUUUGAGAGCUGCUGACACUGAGACGGUCCGUUUGCAGAGGUACUUCAGGAUCUGCGAGAGUCUCUGCAAACCUCCGUACGUCUUUGCCAGAGUGUGAGGAUGAGUGCAGAGGGAACAUCGGGCCGUUCUCCAAAGGGAAUCUUAAUGAAUUCUUGCGCUGGUGUCAUCUAUAUUUCAGGAGCCUUAGAAACCAGAGCGGCCUUGUAGGCUCCCCCCAUAACCCCACCGCCCCGAAGAAGGACCAGCACCGCGCGCACUCAGCUCCUGGAUGUGGGUCAUGCUUAAAUAUGAAUUUUUCAUAUCUUUUGCAACUGUCCCCUGAUUUUGGCCCUGCAUUCAAAGUCGCAGCGCAGCUGGUGGAAAUGUGACACGGCCCCACCCUCGCUGUGUGAACUUCCCUCGGAAACUUUCCACUAAGCACACAUGAUGGUUCCUUUGUGAGUGCGCAUGCGCCAUUAGCGCGUGCUGCCUGCUGUAACCCCUAAUUUCCCUCGGGAUGAAUAAAGUAUUCUGAUUCUGAUGAUG